RNAcentral lists this ribosomal RNA (253 nucleotides) under uncultured bacterium. RNAcentral describes it as "partial 16S ribosomal RNA". It matches the Rfam family "Bacterial small subunit ribosomal RNA", at positions 524 to 776 of the family's 1533-position model. The record is from RNAcentral.
UACAGAGACUGCAAGCGUUAUUCGGAUUCACUGGGCGUAAAGGGUGCGCAGGCGGUCGGGUGUGUCAGAUGUGAAAUCCCGAGGCUCAACCUCGGAACUGCGUCUGAAACUACUCGACUAGAGUACUGGAGAGGGUAACGGAAUUCACGGUGUAGCAGUGAAAUGCGUAGAUAUCGUGAGGAACACCAGAGGCGAAGGCGGUUACCUGGACAGUUACUGACGCUGAGGCGCGAAAGCUAGGGGAGCAAACGGG